Molecule: RNA transcript, 1466 nt
Organism: Cercocebus atys (sooty mangabey)
Lineage: Eukaryota; Metazoa; Chordata; Mammalia; Primates; Cercopithecidae
Exons: 1
Source: RefSeq, a predicted model, not a curated record
UCCGUCCGGCAACGCCAGACUCAGCCCAACUGGGGCACCGGCCACUUCCAAUCUCUCAGAUCCGUGGCCUGAGCGCUGCCGCCACCGGUAAAUGGAGGCACAGGACUGCGAACAAGAGACCACCGCUCGGCGAAAUGGCGGUGCCAGGAGCCUGGGAAGGAAUGCAGCCAGCGACGUUGUCAGGUACAACAUUCGUUUUGGCGCAACCAACGGUGCUGUCACCAAGGAACCGUCGACUCUGAGAAAAAAAGAGAAGUUCGGCCACCGAGAAACUCCGUUCAACAAGUGCUGUGAAGGCAAAACCGCUGGCACCGCGCUGCUGGCGAAAGAGUAAAUGGAAACUCUGGGUGCUGCGACCGCGACCCCGGCACUAGAGGGCCUCGGCUGGAGAAAGCCCCGCACGGAGACAAGGAAACUGUGCACAGCACAGCUAGCAGUUGACAGAAACAGAAAAGUGUCUGCUCUGGUCUCUGUGACAAAGCGCAGAUCAAAACGAGCAACUCAGUGGAGGGAACCCCGCAGCCACUGAAGAAGUUACCCGCGUGACUGUGGGGCCAGAGUAACACCGCGAUUUCGACGACAGCCUUGGGGAUACGACAGAGAAACAUUGGCGGCCACAGAAGUACCAUCCAGCUCCGCGCAACCAGUGGUUCUGCGAUUCAGAAACCACUGUCAGCUGGACUCGACUAGAAACUUCUGAAAAACUGUCGUCUCAUAACAGCUUUCCUACCCAUGACAGAGAGUCGCCUUUGGAGGGCACCUAACGGUGCUGAGACCGGCCUGGGCCAGCACAAAGCGCAGAGCGGUGCCCGUGCCAAGAAACGCCAGACUUGGUGAAACCAACCUUGCGACCACCGAGUCCACUGGCUUCGCAGGACGCAAUGGGCAAAGGCGCAGCGGAGAAACCGCGGGCUCGGUUCACCGAUUAUGCUGCUGGCGGGUGAUGGUGGGGUGGGGCACCCGCAAAGUUGUGAAACCAGCGGCGCUGGGACCCUGCGAUUACCUGCCCCUCUGUCAGCGUUAUCGAAUGCUCUCUGACUGCAACCUUCCUUCCGCCAAAAGCUGCAAAAGACAACUUUUGGCGGAAGGAAGGUUGCAGUCAGAGAGCAUCCGAUAACGCUGACAAAGGAGUGGCGUUGGCAGUGAGAAACCGCUGGCGCUGGGAAAGGAACGGUGCAGCGACCGACCAACCGCGCGCUCGGUGCCUCCAAAAUGCUACCGGUUCUACCCACUCUGUCCCCCACAGGCUUAGGGAAGUCUGUUGUCCUUUUCUUUUUUCUUCUCUGGCCUACGCUGGUGCAGUGGUGUCAUCUUGGCUCAGUGCAGCCUCGACUUCCUGGGAUCCAGCGAUCCUCCUGCCUCAGCCUCUAGAGUAGCCGAGACCACAGGUGAGUGCUACCACCCCCGUCUAAUUCGUGUGUGUGUAUAUGUGUGUGUGUGUGUGUGUGUGUGUGUGUGUGUGUGUG